Molecule: unclassified non-coding RNA, 1419 nt
Filed under: uncultured Neocallimastigales
Lineage: Eukaryota; Fungi; Neocallimastigomycota; Neocallimastigomycetes; Neocallimastigales
Description: partial contains small subunit ribosomal RNA, internal transcribed spacer 1, 5.8S ribosomal RNA, internal transcribed spacer 2, and large subunit ribosomal RNA
Rfam family: Eukaryotic large subunit ribosomal RNA (bases 662-1419)
Source: RNAcentral
UUUCCGUAGGUGAACCUGCGGAAGGAUCAUUAAAAAAUUGGACUCCAUUGGUGAGUUCAUUAAUAAUCCCUACCCUUUGUGAAUUUGUUUGUUUGAAUAAUUUUUUUUCCAAAAAAAAUUAUUGAAUGUCUUUCCUUGUUUUGGUGGAGCUUGUAAAGUGAAACCAGGCAGGGGAAUGGCAAACAAUAAUUAUUUUUGAAAAAGACCUUUUUUUAAAAUUAAACUUUUUGUAUUCAUUUGUCUAAAAUUAAUUUUUAUAAUAUAAAAACAACUUUUGACAAUGGAUCUCUUGGUUCUCGCAACGAUGAAGAACGCAGCAAAAUGCGAUAAGUAGUGUGAAUUGCAGAAUACGUGAAUCAUCGAAUCUUCGAACGCAUAUUGCACUUUUUUAGUUUACUAAAAAAGUAUGUCUGUUUGAGUAUCAGUAAAAUAUUCUCAUAAAAAACAUUGUUUUUUUUAUGGUUAUGAGUGUUUUACAACGAUAACAAGUUGUUUCACUUUAAAUUCUUUGUUACCAAAAAAAUCAUUAAAAGCUAAUUUUAAAGAUUUUUUAAAAUUGGAUAAAAUUUUCCCGUAAAAAGGAAUAACCUAAACAAUUUUAAAAAAUUAAAAUUGGUUUGAUUUUUUUUGAAACCCAAAGGAAAAAAAAACGAAAUUAACUUGAUCUCAAAUCAGAUAAGAGUACCCGCUGAACUUAAGCAUAUCAAUAAGCGGAGGAAAAGAAACUAACUAGGAUUCCCUCAGUAACGGCGAGUGAAGCGGGAAGAGCUCAAAUUUGAAAUCUUCAAGGUUUUACCUUGACGAAUUGUAGUUUAAAGAAGUGUUUUCUGUUGGAGUUUUGGUAAAAGUUCUUUGGAAAAGGACAUCAUAGAGGGUGAGAAUCCCGUAUUUGACCAUUAUCUCCAGCUUUGUGAUACACUUUCAAAGAGUCGGAUUGUUUGGGAAUGCAGUCCAAAAUGGGUGGUAAAUUUCAUCUAAAGCUAAAUACUGGCGAGAGACCGAUAGCGAACAAGUACCGUGAGGGAAAGAUGAAAAGAACUUUGAAAAGAGAGUUAAACAGUACGUGAAAUUGUCAAAAGGGAAGCGUUUGACACCAGUGUUGUUUUCUCGAAAAUCAAUUAAAAAAGGCCGGAUUUUGUGUUGUAUUGACUUUAUCAGCUUUCUGCACUCUUUUCUUGUCUUUUUUAAUGCACUUUUCGUUUAACAAGUCAACAUCAAUUUCUUUUGUUGUAAAAGGGUCAUUGGAAGGUGGCUUUCUUUUCGGAGAAAGUGUUUAUAGCCUUUGGCCUCUGCAAUCGGAGAGAUUGAGGUCUGCAGCGUAGAUCCUUCGAGGUUAGAUACAUUUGUGCUAAGUUAUAGCCUUUCAUAGACAACUUGUUGACUAUGAUCAGUCAUGUAGCUUACUCGCUUAUGCUAUUU